Long non-coding RNA from Acanthochromis polyacanthus (spiny chromis), 453 nucleotides. RefSeq lists it as uncharacterized. Lineage: Eukaryota; Metazoa; Chordata; Actinopteri; Pomacentridae. The transcript has 3 exons. The record is from RefSeq and is a predicted model, not a curated record.
GUGAAGCUGAGAGGUUUAACUGGUGUUUUCAGGCCCAUCGCAGGCUUUUAUUUUGAAAUUGUGCUGUGCUUUUAUUUUGAAAGGGAAAGACAGGAAGAUCUCACCUGGUCAACAUUUGGAUUGGAGUUACUCUAAAGCAGGGGUGUCAAACUCAGUUCCUCGAGGUCCACUAUCCUCUAUGUUCUAGAUGUUUCCUUCUUACAACACACCUGAUUCAAAUAAUCAGCUCAUCAUCAAGCUCAGCAGAAGCCUGAUAACGAGCCUGAUCAUUUGAAUCAGGUGUGUUGGAACUGAGUUUGACACCCCUGCUGUAAAGGCUGUGUGAAGCUGAGAGUUUGAACUGAUUUUCAGGCUGAAAUGCAGCUCCUGUGGAGGUAUUGGGUGUGAAGGUGGGUGUGGCACACCAAUGAGUCUGUGUGUGUGCGUGCGAACAUGCCUGCGCGUGUGUAAGAG